Molecule: ribosomal RNA, 649 nt
Filed under: uncultured bacterium
Lineage: Bacteria
Description: bacterial SSU rRNA
Rfam family: Bacterial small subunit ribosomal RNA
Source: RNAcentral
GACCGGCAAACGGGUGCGGAACACGUACAGAACCUUCCUUCGAGCGGGGAAUAGCCCAGAGAAAUUUGGAUUAAUACCCCAUAGUAUAUUGAAGAGGCAUCUCUUUACUAUUAAAGAUUUAUCACUUGAAGAUGGCUGUGCGGCUGAUUAGGUAGUUGGCGGGGUAACGGCCCACCAAGCCCACGAUCAGUAACUGGUGUGAGAGCACGACCAGUCACACGGGCACUGAGACACGGGCCCGACUCCUACGGGAGGCAGCAGUAAGGAAUAUUGGUCAAUGGACGAAAGUCUGAACCAGCCAUGCCGCGUGGAGGAUGAAGGUCCUCUGGAUUGUAAACUUCUUUUAUAUGGGACGAAAAAGGGUCUUUCUAGAUCAACUGACGGUACCAUAUGAAUAAGCACCGGCUAACUCCGUGCCAGCAGCCGCGGUAAUACGGAGGGUGCAAGCGUUAUCCGGAUUCACUGGGUUUAAAGGGUGCGUAGGUGGGUUGGUAAGUCAGUGGUGAAAUCCCCGAGCUUAACUUGGGAACUGCCAUUGAUACUAUCAGUCUUGAAUACCGUGGAGGUCAGCGGAAUAUGUCAUGUAGCGGUGAAAUGCUUAGAUAUGACAUAGAACACCAAUUGCGAAGGCAGCUGGCUACGCGAAUAU